RNAcentral lists this ribosomal RNA (868 nucleotides) under uncultured Lactobacillus sp. RNAcentral describes it as "bacterial SSU rRNA". It matches the Rfam family "Bacterial small subunit ribosomal RNA", at positions 52 to 885 of the family's 1533-position model. Lineage: Bacteria; Bacillati; Bacillota; Bacilli; Lactobacillales; Lactobacillaceae. The record is from RNAcentral.
UACAUGCAAGUCGAACGAACCAAACUGAAGAUUGAAGCUUGCUUCAUGAUUCAGACCUUGGUGAGUGGCGGACGGGUGAGUAACACGUGGGUAACCUGCCCAAAAGUGGGGGAUAACAUCUGGAAACAGGUGCUAAUACCGCAUAACAACAACCUUCACAUGAUCACAGCUUGAAAGAUGGCUCUGCUAUCGCUUUUGGAUGGACCCGCGGCGUAUUAGCUAGUUGGUGAGGUAAAGGCUCACCAAGGCAAUGAUACGUAGCCGACCUGAGAGGGUAAUCGGCCACAUUGGGACUGAGACACGGCCCAAACUCCUACGGGAGGCAGCAGUAGGGAAUCUUCCACAAUGGGCGAAAGCCUGAUGGAGCAAUGCCGCGUGAGUGAAGAAGGUUUUCGGAUCGUAAAACUCUGUUGUUGAAGAAGAACAUGCGUGAGAGUAACUGUUCACGUACUGACGGUAUUCAACCAGAAAGCCACGGCUAACUACGUGCCAGCAGCCGCGGUAAUACGUAGGUGGCAAGCGUUGUCCGGAUUUAUUGGGCGUAAAGAGAAUGUAGGCGGUUUAUUAAGUUUGAAGUGAAAGCCCUCGGCUCAACCGAGGAAGUGCUUCGAAAACUGGUAAACUUGAGCGCAGAAGAGGAAAGUGGAACUCCAUGUGUAGCGGUGGAAUGCGUAGAUAUAUGGAAGAACACCAGUGGCGAAGGCGGCUUUCUGGUCUGUAACUGACGCUGAGAUUCGAAAGCAUGGGUAGCAAACAGGAUUAGAUACCCUGGUAGUCCAUGCCGUAAACGAUGAGUGCUAAGUGUUGGAGGGUUUCCGCCCUUCAGUGCUGCAGCUAACGCAUUAAGCACUCCGCCUGGGGAGUACGA